CCUUCGAACGAUGACGGAAGGAGCUUUCCAGCCGGGACGGUUGGUUCUCUGGGCACCAAACGACUAGCUAGCCCGAUGGCAAAGCUGCGCAGCCGCGAAGGGACACUCACCGAGGCCUCGCUGGCUUCCGCGUUCUCCUCCUCGACAAAACACUGCACCGGAUUGGGUGACGUCAGGACGCCCCUCGCGCUCCCUCAAUGGUGGAUCGGAGGCGGGGUCGAGAGUGGGAACGCCUCCCGCAAAGGAUGGGGCGGCAAUGUAAUGUGACGUCAGGGCCCGCCGGAAAAUAACGAACGCGGCUCGCUCUGGGAACGGAGCGGGAGGCGCGGCCUCCCUGUAAUUGCGCGGGAAGGGCCAGACUGGUUCGGCCCGAAGAGUUCCCGUUCGCUGCUUUCCAAAGUUCCUGCCAGGAGCCGCGGAAACUUCCGGGGGCGGACAGCCGAUUCCGCUGCGAACGUGGCAAAAUCAGAUUCUUGUUAAGCGACGAUUAAAAAAGGAUUUUUAAAAAAA
This is a non-coding RNA of Pantherophis guttatus, 510 nucleotides long. The record is from RefSeq and is a predicted model, not a curated record. NCBI's taxonomy places the organism in Eukaryota, Metazoa, Chordata, Lepidosauria, Squamata, Colubridae.